CCUACGGGAGGCUGCAGUAGGGAAUAUUGCUCAAUGGGGGAAACCCUGAACCAGCAACGCCGCGUGAAGGAUGAAGGUUUUCGGAUUGUUAACUCUUUUUUUUAGAGAAGUUAAUUACGGCAUCUAUCGAAUAAGCACCGUCUAAUUCCGUGCCAGCAGCCGCGGUAAUACGGAGGGUGCAAGCGUUACUCGGAAUCACUGGGCGUAAAGAGCGCGUAGACGGGGUAGCAAGUCAGUUGUGAAAUUCUUAGGAUUAACCAUAAAACUGCAUUUGAAACUGUUAGUCUAGAGUAUAGUAGAGGUAGGUGGAAUUCGUGGUGUAGGGGUAAAAUCCGUAGAGAUCAAGAGGAAUACUCAUUGCGAAGGCGACCUGCUAGAACAUAACUGACGCUGAUGCGCGAAAGCGUGGGGAGCAAACAGGAUUAGAUACCCGGGUAGUC
Molecule: ribosomal RNA, 440 nt
Filed under: uncultured bacterium
Lineage: Bacteria
Description: partial 16S ribosomal RNA
Rfam family: Bacterial small subunit ribosomal RNA
Source: RNAcentral